RNAcentral lists this long non-coding RNA (21393 nucleotides) under Triticum aestivum (bread wheat). RNAcentral describes it as "long non-coding RNA (TAES_LNC007233)". The record is from RNAcentral. Lineage: Eukaryota; Viridiplantae; Streptophyta; Magnoliopsida; Poales; Poaceae.
UUGUUUUUUGUCCAUACCUCUCUCUCUCUCUAAGCAUGUGGACAUGUUUUUCGAUUUCGGUUUUCGCUUGAGGACAAGCGAGGUCUAAGCUUGGGGGAGUUGAUACGUCCAUUUUUCAUCAUGUUUACCUACUGUUAUUUAUGUUGUUUCAUUGCAUAAUAAUGCUUUUUGGAGUAAUUAUAAUGCCUUUUCUCUCAUAAUAUGCAAGGUAUAUACGAAGGGGGAGAAUUCCGGCAGUUGGAAAUCUGGACCUGAAAAAGCUACGUCAGGCUACCUAUUCUGCACAACUCCAAAUGAGCUGAAACUUCACGAGGAUUUUUUAUGGAAUAAAUAAGAAAUACUGGAGCAAAUAAGUACCAGAGGAGGCCACCCUGGUGAGCACAAGACACCAGGGUGCGCCUGGGGGUUGUGCUCAUCCAGGCCCACCUCUGGUGCCCCUCUUCUGGUACAUAAGUGAUUUUGACCUAGAAAAAAUAAGGAGAGGACUUUCGGGACGAAGCGCCGCCGUCUCGAGGCGGAACCUCGGCAGGAGCACUUUUGCCCUCCGGCGGAGCGAUUCCACUAGGGGAACUUCCCUCCUGGAGGGGGAAAUCAUCGUCAUCAUCAUCACCAACAACUCUCCCAUCUUGGGGAGGGCUAUCUCCAUCAACAUCUUCAACAACACCAACUCCUCUCGAACCCUAGUUCAUCUCUUGUGUUCAAUCUUUGUAUCGGAACUAUAGAUUUGUGCUUGUGGGUGACUAGUAGUGUUGAUUACAUCUUGUAGUUGAUUACUAUAUGGUUUAUUUGGUGGAAGAUUAUAUGUUCAGAUCCAUUAUUCUAUUUAAUACACCUCUGAUCUUGAGCAUGAUUAUCAUUUGUGAGUAGUUACUUUUGUUCUUGAGGUCACGAGAGAAAUCACGUGAACUUGAUAUGUGUUCGAUAUUUUGAUGAUAUGUAUAUUGUGAUUCCCUUAGUGGUGUCAUGUGAAUGUCGACUAUAUGACACUUCACCAUAUUUGGGCCUAAGAGAAUGCAUUGUGGAGUAUUUAUUAGAUGAUGGGUUGCGAGAGUGAUAGAAGCUUAAACCCUAGUUUAUGCGCUAUUCCAUAAGGGGCCGAUUGGAUCCAAAAGUUUAAUGCUAUGGUUAGAAUUUAUUCUUAAUACUUUUCUCAUAGUUGCGGAUGCUUGCGAGGGGGUUAAUCAUAAGUAGGAGGUUUGUUUAAGUAAGAACAGCACCUAAGCACCGGCCCACCCACAUACCAAAUUAUCAAAGUAGCGAACACGAAUUGAGCCAACAUGAUGAAAGUGACUAGAUGAAAUUCCCGUGUACCCUCAAGAACACUUUGCUUAUCAUAAGAGAUUGUUUUGGCUUGUCCUUGGCCUCAAAAGGAUUGGGCUACCUUGCUGCACUUUUGUUACUACUGUUGUUACUUGCUCGUUACAAAUUAUCUUGCUAUCAAACUAUUCUAUUACUUACAAUUUUAGCACCUGCAGACAUUACCUUGCUGAAAACCACUUGUCGUUUCCUUAUGCUCCUCGUUGGGUUCGACACUCUUACUUAUCGAAAAGGCUACAAUUGACCCCAUAUACUUGUGGGUCAUCAACAGAUAUUCAACACUUUAGGCUGAUUACAGUGAUUAACGUGCUCCAGCGGAUAUUUGUGAAGGUGUGUGCGACGCACUUUUCCCCUGUGGUGGAACACCUUUCUCACCCCUAUCGGCCUGCAUCCUUGAAGGGCUAUCAUAUCCAUGACAGAAUUUGAGCUCUUCAUGAGAUAGUGCAAGAGGUUAGGACAUGCCAUCAUAAAGCGUCUUCCUUAAGCUAGACUUCCAGAAGGCGUAGGAACACUUUGACUGGUCCUUUGCCUAGUUCUUGAGCGACAGGGGUUCGAUGAUCGUUGGUAUUCAUGAAUCAUGCAGUUGGUCAGAAUGGUAGCACAUCCAUUAAUAUUAAUGGGGAGGUCGGGCCCCUUUCUUUAGGUCUUCUCGCAGGCUGAGGCAGGGGGAUCCUAUUGCUCACCUCCUCUUUAAACUUGCGGUCGAAACCCUUGCAGCUAUCCUAGAUAAAGCUAGGAUGGCCAAGCACAUCACUAGUGUGGUUGGGCAUUUAAUCCCUAGUGGUGGCGUCACGCAUCUGCAGUAUGCGAAUGAUACCAUGAUUAUGGUGGAGGGUUCGGAUCUUGAUAUUAUCAACCUCAAGUUCCUCCUUUUGUGCUUUGAGGCAAUCUAUGGUCUUAAGACCAACUUUGACAACAGCGAAGUUGUGGUUUUAGGGUACUCGGCAAGCAGCGGCGGAUUCCGGACAACUUAACCUAUAGGUUGUCCUCCUUUCCCAUUACAUACUUAGGGAUGUCGCUCUCUGAUUCGAGGGUACCCUUAAGUGAGUUCAACCCACUUAUGGGUCAGGUCACAUCUAGGUCGGAGCCAUGGUGCGGUCGUCUUACGUCCAAAGGAGUAAGACCGUUCUUAUCAACUCCUCCCUGUCUAGUCUCCCCAUGUAUAUGCUGAGAUUGUACAUCAUGCUGGAAGGGGUACAUCGCUCCUUUGAUAAAGACCUUUCCCGCUUCCUCUGGCAAGAGGCGGAUGGCCGAUAGAAGUACCCUAUGGUCAAGUGGGUUGAUAUUUGCAUGCCUAAGGACCUGGGAGGAAUUUGCAUCCUUGCAUCCCAUCGCAUAAAUGUGGCCCUUAUGCUGAGAUGGGUCUGGCGGAUCCUUCACGGGGAUGUGGGCUAUGGUUACAACUUGUUCAAACAAAGUACUUGUGGGGUCAGACUCUCCUUGCCUGUGAGCAUAGGGAGGGUUCUCAAUUCUGGAGAUCUAUUCAGCGGAUCAAGCAUGAGAUCCGCAAUGGGCUCUCCUUCUCCGUUAGCAAUGGAAAAGGACCCUCUUCUAGCUUGACCCGUGGGUGGGCAAGUCUUCGUUAUGUAUGGAGUUCCCAAACGUGUUUUGCUAUGUGCUCGUAUCCGAUGACAUUGAUUUCCAUGGCGGCCCACGCUUGCCAUUGGAACGUCUUGUUCUGACGAACAUUUGGGCCCAUGGAGGUCGAGGAGUAAGCCAAGGAGUGGCCCAACUUGCAGGCUGACCUCCCCUCGGUGCUUGCAAACUAUUCGGGCACCGAGAUCUUUUCUGUUGGCUCCAUUUAUCAUGCCUUAUGCCGAUGGUCGUCUCUUUCCUGGACCUUUCCCCUAUGGAAAGCACUCAUGCCACUCAAGAUCAAAAUUUUUGUUUGGCAGCUCUUGCGAGAUCGCCUCCCAUCUAGCAGGGAGGUGAUCAAACGGCACAACCAUGGGGAUGGGUUGUGCCCGCUUUGUGGUGUUUCAAAGACAUGGACGCACAUCUUAUUCUUGUGCACAUCGGCGAGAUUACUUUGGAGUUUCGCCUGUGAGGCUCUGGACCUGGUUGGGUUCCUCGAAACCCGUGCCCACCAGACUGAAAGGAGACGACGCCCCUUCUAGCAUAACAAUAUGGUGGUGGUUAUUGAGCGAGUAUUUCUUAGGCGGGCCUCUAACUCUAUCUUCAAAUUCCUUGCCUUUUUGCAGCACCGGCACCCGCUUUCUAGACAACAAGGUUACGACCGGCUUGGCCACAUGAUGGACGCGAUGACUGUUGUUGCACGCCAUCUUGCUUAGCCACAGAUCUCNNNNNNNNNNNNNNNNNNNNNNNNNNNNNNNNNNNNNNNNNNNNNNNNNNNNNNNNNNNNNNNNNNNNNNNNNNNNNNNNNNNNNNNNNNNNNNNNNNNNNNNNNNNNNNNNNNNNNNNNNNNNNNNNNNNNNNNNNNNNNNNNNNNNNNNNNNNNNNNNNNNNNNNNNNNNNNNNNNNNNNNNNNNNNNNNNNNNNNNNNNNNNNNNNNNNNNNNNNNNNNNNNNNNNNNNNNNNNNNNNNNNNNNNNNNNNNNNNNNNNNNNNNNNNNNNNNNNNNNNNNNNNNNNNNNNNNNNNNNNNNNNNNNNNNNNNNNNNNNNNNNNNNNNNNNNNNNNNNNNNNNNNNNNNNNNNNNNNNNNNNNNNNNNNNNCACUAAAGCCUGUUUCUGAGAGAGAUAUUUUGGCUAGCCAAGUUUUCGGUGGGCUUGACUUUGGCUCAAACCAAACACAAAAUUCAUCCUAAGGCCUCCUUUGGUUUGUAAUAGCAAUUUUGUAGGAAUUCUAUAGGAUAGAAUUUUCAAAAGAAACAUUCUUUUGAAGCCCUUUGGUUUGCAUGAACAAAUUUUUAUUCCUGUGUAGGAUAGGAACCAAUCCUUCACAUUUCAAAGGAAAAAAAAAACAUUAGCCUAGACUUGAUGGAAAAAUUCCAUCCUAUACAUCAAAUGUCAUCUCUUUUCCUAUAGGAAUUGAGGUACAUGUCUAACUCAUUUCCUAUGAUUUUCCAAUUCCUAUGACAUGCCUAUCCUAUGAACCAAAGGAGGCCUAAUAAUUUCCAAACAAAUAUCUCUCAUCCAAACGGCACAAGCACCCCCUACAGAAGUAAAACAAUAUCCAAUUGCAAUGUAUGGAUAUAUAUUCUCAGUGUGCUUAUACAACAUGUUAAAAUAACUGAAACGGAAAAGAAAAUUAACAGGAUGAAAAAAAUUAACAACAGCCAAUUGUACAGAAGGGUCUAAACAUGAAAAUAGCACUAUGUUAUAAGUAGUUAGUCAUCAUUGUAGCCUUCAAUAUUCAGUCUUCUUCUGGAUCUUCUGGGCGCUGUAAAAAGAUAAGAUCAAAUGAGGAGGGGCCCUUCUCUGGAGCAAAUAACAAACGAGAGUAUAUAGUUCUCAUCGUUCCAAUCACAGUUAUAACCAAGAAAUUCAGUAUGAAGCAAUGUAACAUUCAUUGGAUCUAUGCAUCAACUCAGAACCUGAAUAUUCUGAUACAGUGAUACUUCUGAAACACUGUCUAAUUCAACCCAUUGAAUAGCAGAAAAGCAAAUUCAACAGUAAAAAACAAACACUCGUGCCAUCUUUCCUCUUCGUAUGUACUCCAUGUUGCUCUCUUCUGGAGUUCCAAUACCAGAUUCCCAUACAUGGCUGUUGCUGCUAGGGAUGCAAGCGGGCAUCCCGCAUAAGCCCGCCAAAACAGAAAUUUAGUUCAAACUGAACUAAAGCUGAACCAGAAAGAUUAUAACUAAGUCGAUCUACUUUGACUAUGAAGCGGGGCAGAUCGGGCGCCGCUCUGCAUCCCUUUUGCUGCCCUACAACAGUAUCAUUUGAGUCCAGCAACCUCGCAGGACCCGGACGGGUCUCUAGCUACCUCACCUUCUACCAGUAGAGACUGGGAACUUCUUUCUUCCUCCUCGUGAGAGUUAAAGACAUGGAUACGGAGGUCCAUCAAUUCUAGCAAACCUCGCAGGACCCGGAUGGGUCUCCAGCUACCUCACCUUCUACCAAUAGAGACUGGGAACUUCUUUCUUCUUCCUCAUGAGAGUUCAAUGUAAGGGGGAGGGGGAGGGGGGUGGAGGGGCGAAGGUGGAGAUCUGGAGAAGCCAUCUCGAGCUCACUGGAUAGCAUGCAGCAUCCUCGGAUUUAGAUAUCACAGACUCUGCACCUUCUAUUGCGUCGGGAUGUGGCCGCACCAUGGUUUUUAUCCAUAAGGCGAUGCCUCACCUAAGCAGUAAGGCGACCUGACAGCACCUUGCGUUUCGUUUGCCUUAGGCGCUUAAGCCUCCAUUAGGUGGUAAGGCGGGGGUUGAUCGACUUUAGAGGCCUUACCGCCUUAUAAACCUUGGGCCGUGCCUGGGACUGAAAGAACAAGAGGGGGCAAUAAACGGCGGGGGAGAAGUAGAAGAGGGUACGACACCAGCUGCAGGUAAGUAGAGGAUGUAGCACCGGUCAAGAUGAAGAAGAGGAUACGAUGUCGGUGACAGGGAAGGAGGUCUCCAAAGGUGGCGGGUUUGAGGUCCUUGCCAGCGGAAGGUUGAUACGAUCUCACGGUGGCGGUGGGUCGACAGAAGGUCACCAGCAGCGGUGGGUAAACGGGAGCCAGGGCGACAGUGGUUACACGGGAAUUCACUAUGCAAGACAAAGGAAAUGAAGGAUGACUGUUUCCAUACAAUUCGGAUGGGUCAAACUCCUUACUGGUCCUCGUUGUUCGGCACAGACCAUAGUAUUGGGCUUCAAAAUCCAAUUCUGAUUCUAUAGCCACCCAAACAGCAGAAUUCACAAACAUUGUGAACCUAGAUCAAUAACAGGAUAACUACCCUACAGAAGAUAGCCAGGUACAAGGUUACAGAGGAUGGGGUAGACAAUGGUUGAGAUGAGAGAACAGAUUGAUUUUUCAAGCUUGUCUCAAGCAUAGAUACAUAUUAUCCUUAUACAGUGGAUGUUUAGAUCUUUGACCUUUCCUAAUACGGCACGAACUCACAGCCCACCAGCCUCUAUUAUCAUGACCAACCACCUCUUAUUCUACAAGGUUGUUGCACCCAUGGUUUCAUGAGAUCAAAAGCCUAAUGCGGGUCUAAGAUACACAGAAAAAUGAAAGCAUGCAGAUGUCGGAGAAAACUGGUAGGAAAUCCUGUCUUUUACAGGCAUUUCACAAAGACACUACCUCGGAAACACGAAACAGUACCUAUUUAGAAACCACAACAUCUGUCUAAAAUGUCAUCUAACUCGGGCCGAAGAUGAUCAAAGUUUCAAUCAAAUAUAACCCUUCUAACCAAACAGCAAACCCAUUAUUUAACAAUUUCAGGAAGCAAAAAUAUUUACAGCCGAGCAAAUCAGGAGAAGCUAAAAAAAUAACUGUAUGCCAGAGCCUGAUCAAACUCAAAACUUCCAUGCAAGUUUUAGCCAGUAAACAGUCUACAGAUAUUUGGAUCUCAUGCUUGAAUAAAUGCAGCCAAUCAACCAUUAACUCAAAGCAUGGAGUUCUUGGUCAUCGCAACCCGAAUCCUGCUAGAAUGUAUAUAAAUCGUUAAGAAAAGACUAGUCAUGCUGCUGAUCUUACCUAGAAUUCAAUUGGGACAAACGUAUCCCCAUUAGUACAAGUGACAAAAGACUAGUGAAGCAAAGUUCGAGCAUAAGUGAUGCAACUGACAAGAGGACAAGAGACAAGCCCAUCCAAAACAGGUUUCGUAACAAUGUUAAUAAAGUGAGAGUUGAAAAUGCUCUGUAUCGACCUUCAAUGCAGUUCUAGGAUGGAAAGGUGCUAUGCCUAUGUAAAUAUGAGUAAUCCGACUGUUAUUUAAACAUCAAAGAAAAAAAUCCAAUCAUGUUUUACAGACUUCAACUCCGCCUAUGUUGUCUCAACAUAGCCGGUCCCAAGCCCGGGUAAAGGAGGAGGGUUGUGAUAGGCUUGGCGAGCCAACGUAAAAACUCAGCCACUCUUAUGGAGAUGAAACCCAAAAGAUUUUCGUUGGGGCGUAACCCUCUCAGCGACGCGCCACAUCGGAGCCCGGGUGUGGUGGAAAAUGGGCAAGGGCCGGGCCGUCACCCCCCAGGUGGUGCGCCGUAUCUUGAUCCGGAUACGGUGGCGAGUGAGCGAGGAUCGGGUCGUCGCAUCCUUAGUGGCGCGCUACAUCGGCACCCGGAUGUAGUGGAAAAUGAGCAAGGGUCUUCGCAUUUGACUCGACGAGUGCGAAGGGUAAGGAAGCUAGCCGAGCCUAGGAGGAUUCUCUUAGGUAGCUGGAACGUAGGGUCUCUGACAGGGAAGCUUCGGGAGCUAGUUGAUGCAGCGGUGAGGAGAGGUGUUGAUAUCCUUUGUGUCCAAGAAACCAAAUGGAGAGGACAGAAGGCGAAGGAGGUGGAGGAUACCGGCUUCAAGCUGUGGUACACGGGGAAGGCUGCAAACAGAAAUGGCGUAGGCAUCUUGAUCAACAAGAGCCUCAAGUAUGGAGUGGUAGACGUCAAGAGACGUGGGGACUGGAUUAUCCUGGUCAAGCUGGUAGUUGAGGACUUGGUUCUCAAUGUUAUCAGCUCGUAUGCCCCGCAAGUAGGCCACAAUGAGAACACCAAGGAGUUCUGGGAAGGCCUGGAAGACAUGGUUAGGAGUGUACCGAUUGGUGAGAAGCUCUUCAUAGGAGGAGACCUCAAUGGCCACGUGGGUACAUCUAACACAGGUUUUGAAGGGGCGCAUAGGGGCUUUGGCUAUGGCAUCAGGAAUCAAGAAGGAGAAGAUGUCUUAAGCUUUGCUCUAGCCUACAACAUGAUUGUAGCCAACACCCUCUUUAGAAAGAGAGAAUCACAUCUGGUGACUUUUAGUAGUGGCCAACACUCUAGCCAGAUUGAUUUCAUCCUCUCGGGAAGAGAAGAUAGGCGUGCGUGCCUAGACUGUAAGGUGAUACCUGGAAAGAGUGUUGUGCCCCAGCAUAAGCUGGUGGUUGCUGACUUCCGCUUUCGGAUUCGUGUCCAGCGGGAUAAGCGUGCCAAAGUCGCUAGAACGAAGUGGUGGAAGCUCAAGGGGGAGGUAGCUCAGGCGUUCAAGGAGAGGAUCAUUAAGGAGGGCCCUUGGGAGGAAGGAGGGGAUGUGGACAAUGUGUGGAUGAAGAUGGCGACUUGCAUUCGUAAGGUGGCCUCGGAGGAGUUUGGAGUGUCCAGGGGAAGGAGAAGCAAAGAUAAGGAUACCUGAUGGUGGAAUGAUGAUGUCCAGAAGGCGAUUAAAGAGAAGAAAGAUUGCUUCAGACGCCUAUACCUGGAUAGGAGUGCAAACAACAUAGAGAAGUACAAGAUGGCGAAGAAGGCCGCAAAGAGAGUUGUUGGUGAAGCAAGGGGUCGGGCAUAUGGGGACCUCUACCAACGGUUAGGCGCGAAGGAAGGUGAAAGGGACAUCUAUAAGAUGGCCAAGAUCCGAGAGAGGAAGACGAGGGAUAUUGGCCGAGUCAAAUGCAUCAAGGACGGAGCAGGCCAACUCUUGGUGAAGGACGAGGAGAUUAAGCAUAGAUGGCGGGAGUACUUCGAAAGUUGUUCAAUGGGGAGAAUGAGAGUUCUACCAUUGAACUGGACGACUCCUUUGAUGAGACCAGCAUGCGUUUUGUGCGGCGAAUCCAGGAGUCUGAGGUCAAGGAGGCUUUUAAAAGGAUGAAAGGAGGCAAGGCGAUGGGCCCUGAUUGUAUCCCCAUUGAGGUGUGGAAAGGUCUCGGGGACAUAGCGAUAGUAUGGCUAACCAAGCUUUUCAACCUCAUUUUUCGGGCAAACAAGAUGCCAGAAGAAUGGAGACAGAGUAUAUUAGUACCGAUCUUUAAGAACAAGGGGGGUGUUCAGAGUUGUACUAAUUACCGUGGAAUUAAGCUGAUGAGCCAUACAAUGAAGCUAUGGGAGAGAGUCAUUGAGCACCGCUUAAGAAGAAUGACAAGCGUGACCAAAAAUCAGUUUGGUUUCAUGCCUGGGAGGUCGACCAUGGAAGCCAUUUUCUUGGUACACAACUUAUGGAGAGAUAUAGGGAGCAAAAGAAGGACUUGCAUAUGGUGUUCAUUGACUUGGAGAAGGCCUAUGAUAAGAUACCGCGGAAUGUCAUGUGGUGGGCCUUGGAGAAACACAGUCCCAACAAAGUACAUUACCCUCAUCAAGGACAUGUACGAUAAUGUUGUGACAAGUGUUCGAAAAGUGAUGUCGACACUGAUGACUUCCCGAUUAAGAUAGGACUGCAUUAGGGGUCAGCUUUGAGCCCUUAUCUUUUUGCAUUGGUGAUGGAUGAGGUCACAAGGAAUAUACAAGGAGAUAUCUCAUGGUGUAUGCUCUUUGCGGAUGAUGUGGUGCUAGUUGACGAUAGUGGGACGGGGGUAAAUAGGAAAUUAGAGUUAUGGAGACAAACCUUGGAAUCGAAAGGGUUUAGGCUUAGUAGAACUAAAACCGAGUACAUGAUGUGCGGUUUCAGUACUACUAGGUGUGAGGAGGUUAGCCUUGAUGGCCAGGUGGUACCCCAGAAGGACACCUUUCGGUAUUGGGGGUCAAUGUUGCAGGAGGAUGGGGGUAUUGAUGAAGAUGUAACCCAUCGAACAAAGCCGGACGGAUGAAGUGGCACCAAGCUUCUGGCAUUCUCUGUGACAAGAGAGUGCCACAAAAGCUAAAAGGCAAGUUCUACAGGAUGGCGGUUCGACCCGCAAUGUUGUAUGGCGUUGAGUGUUGGCCGACUAAAAGGCGACAUGUUCAACAGUUAGGUGUGGCGGAGAUGCGUAUGUUGAGAUAGAUAUGUGGCCACACGAGGAAGGAUCGAGUCCGGAAUGAUGAUAUACAAGAUAGAGUUGGGAUAGCACCAAUUGAAGAGAAGCUUGUCCAACAUCGUCUGAGAUGGUUUGGGCAUAUUCAGCGCAGGCCUCCAGAAGCUCCAGUGCAUAGCGGACGGCUAAAGCAUGCGGAGAAUGUCAAGAGAGGGCGGGGUAGACCGAAUUUGAGAUGGGAGGAGUCCGUUAAGAGAGACCUGAAGGAUUGGAGUAUCACCAAAGAGCUAGCUAUGGACAGGGGUGCGUGGAAGCUUGCUAUCCAUGUGCCAGAGCCAUGAGUUGGUUGCGAGAUCUUAUGGGUUUCACCUCUAGACUACCCCAACUUGUUUGGGACUAAAGGCUUUGUUGUUGUUGUUGUUGUUGUUAUGUUUUACAGACUUCGGUGCAAAUGUAAAGCAGCACAGAAAGGGUGGCCAGCAGUACAGGCCUACGAGAGGGGAGGGAUACAGUACAUGACUUUGCGUUUUCUCAAAAAAAUGUUAAGCAGAAGCUAGCAAGUAACUUGUCAUAGUACCUCGUUUGGGCUCUUUUUAGCAGCUUCUACAGCUUCUGACCCAAAAAAGCUGGAGCCCAAACAAACGGGCUGUUUUCGGCCCGGCUCCUUCGCAGCGCUCCGCGGAAACGCCCCAGAAGCCGCAGCCAGAAAAACGAGCUUCUAGCAGCCGCAGCUGGCUCCUACAACCCGAAGNNNNNNNNNNNNNNNNNNNNNNNNNNNNNNNNNNNNNNNNNNNNNNNNNNNNNNNNNNNNNNNNNNNNNNNNNNNNNNNNNNNNNNNNNNNNNNNNNNNNNNNNNNNNNNNNNNNNNNNNNNNNNNNNNNNNNNNNNNNNNNNNNNNNNNNNNNNNNNNNNNNNNNNNNNNNNNNNNNNNNNNNNNNNNNNNNNNNNNNNNNNNNNNNNNNNNNNNNNNNNNNNNNNNNNNNNNNNNNNNNNNNNNNNNNNNNNNNNNNNNNNNNNNNNNNNNNNNNNNNNNNNNNNNNNNNNNNNNNNNNNNNNNNNNNNNNNNNNNNNNNNNNNNNNNNNNNNNNNNNNNNNNNNNNNNNNNNNNNNNNNNNNNNNNNNNNNNNNNNNNNNNNNNNNNNNNNNNNNNNNNNNNNNNNNNNNNNNNNNNNNNNNNNNNNNNNNNNNNNNNNNNNNNNNNNNNNNNNNNNNNNNNNNNNNNNNNNNNNNNNNNNNCCCACCCCGAAAGUACAUAUUACUGCGAAAUUGCCCCAAUACCGGUUCGUCUAUUUUCUUUCGUCCCCAUCACGCCGCCGCAUGCUCUCCUGCCUGAACCCCUCUCUUCCCUGGAUGCGCCUCUCGUCGGCCGGUCCCCUGCCCCUCCCGCCCGGAGAUGUGCCUCACCGGCGAAGACCCGAGGUUGCCGCCCCAAGCUGUUCCCCGUAUCCGAGCUGAACGCCUGCAUGGUCGCCGCCAGAAUCGGACGCCGCACCGACGCCAAUGUCGCCGGCCCGCUGCCCUGAACGUCGCAUCAACAGCACGCAUGCCUCCUGGAGCAAAGCACUGACGCCUCGUCCCACUGCUUAUCCAUCUGCAAGUGUGCACGGCGGCGGUGGAUGCGUGCGCAGCGGCUGGACAGUGUGCGUAGUUGCUCUGCUCUGCGUGCCCUGCAUGUUCUUGCUCAGCAUGCCAGCGUGCGUAUGUGCUUCUGCGUCCGUGGCCGAUAUGGUGCUGCUGCUGGCCGAUGAUGUUAUUGGAACAGGAAGCCAGUCUGCUACGAUAUUGGUAUAUAUUGAUAAUUCUGGUAAAGACACAUACAGCACUUUGCUUAUAAAUUGCUCCUGAGCCUUUUUUUUAACAUAAUAAAUGUCCGACUCUACACAAUCUCAUAUUUCACUGAUUAAGAUUGAGAGACAGAUCGAAAAAAAAGAUUGGGAGAUGGUGUAUCCGUGUAUAACCAAGCUCAUUAGUAGAAUGGGAGACUGUAUUGUCCUAUUUUCUGUUCAAACCAGUGAUAAAACAACCUUUUUUAAAAGCUGUUAAACGUGUCAUUUACACUUCUAACAAUACAAUCAGUACUUAAAUCCAAUUUACGGAACAAUUGAGGGUAUUCUAGUCAUUCAACAUAUUUCAGCAUCAGCCGCAGCUGCUACAACAUAACUACCAAACGACUACAUCUUAGCUUCAACCUUUCAGCCGCAGCUAGCAGCUACAGCCGCUCCUUUCAGCUGGAGCCGUUGCAGCUGCAGCCGAAGAAGUUGCAGCCCAAACAAACACACCCUUAGGCUACAGUUAGCUACGAAAAUACACAUGGGUUGUCCAAUAAAGCAAGGUAUGACAGAACCCAAAAGCUCCAAAAGACAAAUGAAAUCAACCAGUUCAGUGACUAAGAAUGUCAUACCGGUAGGAAGUCCCAAUCUUCCUCUCUCAUAUCAAAAUUUUCAGUAGUUUCUUCAUCAAGCAGUAACUGAACCAAAACAAAUAAUAUAUAAAUUGCUCAUUAGAUAUCAUGUAAAAAUCAUCUGUUGAAAAACUCACGGUAUGCAUUCCAGUGUACUCAUCAUAGUCAUGUACAACUGCUGGGACAUACCUGAAAGGCAGAAUAAUGAAAGACAAGGGAUUAAACUGGGGCGGAAACUGAAAACGAUAGAUAAAAGGACAUCUAACGCCAUCAACCAGAUUUGGAGUUGUGAAGGCAUACAUUUUGUCCCGUCGAUCCCAUAAACGGAUGAUCUCCCCAAUACAACUAUCUGAGGUUGUCUUUCUUUUCUUCAUGUCAUGCUGAUCUUGUGAGCUCGCUGAGUUACCAUUGUGGAGAACAAAUGAGUUGACCGACUUAGACGUGCCAACCAUUUUUCUGCAGUUUGAAGAUCCACAAUGACAAUCUUGGUCUGCUCCAAACUGGACAAAUCUGUAGAUAAGGACAGAGAUUAGAAACAGCAACAGUUUUGUGUACACAAUGCGAUAAAGCAAGGUGGGCGAAACAAAUUUGUUUAUAAUGAAAAAGAAUACUUAUAAAGUAACCAGGAACCUAAAUGAACAUACUUAUAGUCAUAGGUCAGCUCCUCCCCUCUCUCUAUGUCACGAAGAGCAAAAAUUCCAACUCGGGUCUCUCCAUCUACGGUCCUGAAAUAACAUGAUACCAGUAGCAAAUAUCAGGGUCAUCAGCAUGGAUAUAGCAUAAGCAAUACAAUAUAACUAACCAUUUUUGCAUCUCUGUGUUUGGUUCACAACUAUGAUUGAUGAAUCUGGACUUGUUCCCCUUGUUUGUUGCAUCAAUGACCAUAUUGCUACUGACCUCACAAAGAUAGAAGUUAGUGUAACGUUGUCUCUUCAUUUUCCAUAGUCUUUCCUCGCAAGUUCUGUCAUCAAUAACUACAAUAUUGAUGCAAGAUAUAUGGAUAUUAGUUUGAUCACCCAGUGUACUAUGUGAGUAACCAUCAUAAUAUAUAAUACUUGCAUUUGUCUGCAUUUCAUUUACUUGCUCAAAAUAGAUUUCAACAAAGCCUUACCUUCUCCUACAUAUUCUAUAACAAAUUCUCCUUUCUUUAUUUCAUCCUCGGCUAUCAAUCCAAAGCCACAUUUCUCUGUCUAGAAUAAUAUAACAGUCUUUUAGGGAACUAUUAGGAAGUGAAAAGAAUGUAUAUGCAACAAUUAAACGUAUUAUGAAACAAUUAAAUUUAUGCACCACUUCCAACGGAACUUAGAAAACGAUCAUCAAAUAGUAAUGUUUGGCUACGCUUCAAAAAAUAUCAAACAUGAAACCACUUGCCUUAGAUUCUCUGUAGACUUAUUAACACAUAAGAGCAUACUUUCCUCCUCGCAUUUAUUUUUGCCAAUUGUGAAGUAUUUCAGUGUUGAAGUAUUGUUUGUGUUAGUGCAUGAAGAAUGAAUAUACUGCCCCACAAGAUAAAGAAAGUUUCAUUAAGGGAUUUGCCAUGGUUUAAGGUGCAGGGUCAGUUGUGCACAGAAUGUGACUAUAUGUUGGAUAUUUUGCUAACAUACAUAUAAUCUCUAUGAAACAUGCAGAUACAAGGGCCAGCUCAAAUAUGGAGUACAGGGAUAAGUAAUGUGGUUCCUAAGAAAUCUCUGAAUUCUAUAUAGUUCCAAAAAGAAAUACAAAAUAACUUGUAGGUAGGAAAACAUUAUAUGUAACAUAACAUCAUAAAGAAAAACAAUACCAGACAACACAGAAUCAUAAAUUGACCUAGGGCAACGGUGAAACUGACUAUAGAAACAAAUGUCUUGAACGGUAAAAUCAUCAGGAUACGUACAACCAAGAAAAUGACGCAAAUUUAGUUAAGUUGGUCCUGGUGGACAAGGCAAAUAUAGCAGAAGUUGUCUGCAUACAGAUUCAACAUGUAUGUAUAGGAUAUAGCCAAAUAUGGUAGGUCAAGCAUAUUUUCCUAUGUUUGUAUCCCCUAAGAUUAACAACUAAACAAAAAUUAGGUCGCAUAAGGACAAGUAACUGGUUAGCUGCACAGACUAACAUGACAAUUCACCAGAAUCAAGAACUUGUGGUGGAAAGAAUUGGAGGUCAGAGGAAGCCAUGGCCACUGUUGGAGGUGCUGACAGCAGCAAGUUUUGGGAGGGGAGAAUAUCAGGGGCCAGAAGGCACCUGCAGGGUGAAAAAGGCCUUGCUGUGGUGGAUUUGGGCUGCCAUGUGAGCAUCACUUCAGCAGAGUCAUAUAGAACAAACAGGAUGAUCGGACGAGUCAAGGACAUGAAAACUUGAUGUCAAGGAAACUGAGGCGGCUUGGCGUUGGGGAGCUCACACCAAUGGCUGUGAGUUUUAAUUAUGUCGAACCACAGGCCACGGAAAGCCAGAUAGGGAACAGGGAGAAGAACAUCCCUGCCCCUACUUCACAGGGUUCAUCCCCCAAUACACGGUUACCCUACUGUGGUUGAAAUAGACCCUAUGAAAAAAAAAACUGUGGGAAGAAUUCCAGCCAACCAAUAAAGCCUACUAGAGGAAUUUUCUACCAGGAAACAGGGGAGACCCAUUGGCGUACCUAACAAGGGAAAUCUUCACAUAUAGUUGUUGUUAGACAGAAUUGCACCAUGUAUGGCAGAUCAGGUCACAAACACCUGCCUCAAGAAAGGGGUUUGAUUCAUUCAAGUUGUACUGUCAAAAUUACUAACUUCAAACAUUGGGAGGUUUUUUUUCUUUAAGCUGUAUGUUUUAUAUUCCAUUUUAUGUUGCUACCAAUCAUUUCGUUUACUUUAGUAUCCUCAAGAAAGAAAGAAUAGAAGUCACUGUACCUGAGCAGUUUAUGUAAGGAAAUUGUAUGCUGAGUUCAAAUAUGCUUAUUUUCAGUAAUGAAAGAGAGAAAUAAAAGUUAUAGAUUGGUCCAUGAAAGCAGAAUGGCUGGUAUACUAACACAUAAAUAUGAUGAUUAUGUGUUUAACUUAUAUUCCUUUACGUGGGACCUCGUUGCUGCUAUUGACUUGUUGAUUGGUUGUGGAGUUACAAGCAAGCAAAUUAAGUUCUAAGUUCAUGGAACUUUUCUGUAUUUAUUUCUCAAUUAUUUCGUUCAAUCAACCUAACACCUGGAUGCAGGUAUCAGCUGUUGCAGCACCUCCAGUGCUACAAAAGCUCAGCAACAAGUUCCCUGGGUAAGAUUAGAUAAACCAUGCCAUAUGUGUAUAGCAGGUUCCCGUUGUUUACUCUGUUUUUGGUCUUCAGGUUCCAUGUGUACGCAGGGAUGAUCGAUUUUAAAGUAGAUGAGAGAGGGUACUGUCUUAAACUUCUUGCUGUCCAAUGCUUAUACUGUAAAAUGUGUACAUAACGUUUCCGUUCUUCAAUAUAAUGCAUCUGGCCUGUAGGUCAGGCGACCGAUCAAACAGAGCAGUGACUAACAUCGUUGUUUUGUCCCCGCAUGUACAUAAUUCCAGGUUUGGGAGAUGCUGGUGAUAGAAGUUUCGCUUCAUAGUCGGGCUAUUCAGUUUCAAUGCAGACUCUGUUCAGUGAGAAUCGUAUAUGCUAUUUUUUUGAGGAUUGCCAUACUGGAGUACUUGAGUGUUAAGAUUGUACGGCCUUAUUCCAUCCUUCUCAGCUACACAGCAUGGACACGGACAAAACAGCCAAAUUGCCGUCCUAGUUCAGCGGGACACAGCGAUACGGCUGGAUACUCCAGGAUUCACGUAUCCCCCAGUUUCCCCUGAUUUCCGAAUUAGAAAAAAAAAGGAAAGGCAUGGCUGGGACACGUAUGGAAUACGUUAGGGACACGGGAAACCCAAUAAAGGCCUCGGCCCAAUAUAGCGCCACAAAGGAACGCUGCUCCAUGCUACAGCAAAUGCGCCGUCGCCUCAACUUGAUGCUACUGCCGCCUGGACUCAACGCUACUGCCUCCUGGACUCGACCGCAGACUUGACCGCCACCGCCACCUGGACUCUGCCUCCCGACGGCAACCACGCUCAAGCGGGUAACCCAGCAGCCUCUCCUCAACCUUUUCAUCUCUUUGCUCGAUUUCUUGAUGUUGAGUUGCUGAUGCUUGCUUCCCCAUGCGCCCACGCCAUUGCUGCUUGCUGUUGAGCUGCCGCUCACUUGAAUGCUGAUGCUGGUGUUUUGAUUGUUGCUUGCAGUCAGGGAGCAUGGCAUUUGGGAGCGCCACCGCCAGUAGCCAAUUUUCCAUGGGUGAGCGUGAAGGGCAGCCUGGUCUCAACUCUCUAAUAGACUAAUACUGGCAUUUGCCAUUUGAUGUAUUAUUUUUAUUUUUAACUCUAUGUAUAUUACAUGGCAUUUUUUAUCUUUUUAUAUAUACUUGCCGUAUCCCCGAAUGGCUAUUUUGAGAAAAUGCCGUACCCCGUGUCCCCAUAUGCGUACCGCCCUGUCGUGUCUCUGUAUCCGUGCUUCUUAGCUUCUCAGUAAUAUACUCCCUCUGUCCUAUAAUAUAGGAUAUUAUUACAACCAAUGUACUCAUAUAUUGGUUGUAAUAACAUCUUAUAUUAUAUGGGCCGGAGGGAGUACUUAUGAUUCUUAUUACUUUUAAAUUAUCCAUUUUUAUGGAUGUAAUGUACAUGGCUAGCUGUCACGUCUCUUGGGAAAAACAGGCUAAUUCUUUAAGGGGCAAUAUCUGUUUUUUCCUUUUUGUGUGUGUAUGUUAUGAUCUCUGUUCUCAAAGCAUCUUUCAGAUUUGUGAGUGCUUAUCAUUCAACAACAAAGAAAUGACCGACUGUGCCCGUUUCAAUCAGACCGAUAAUGCAUGAAGCAAUGCCGAAGCAAACUUAACAGAUCAUGAAUGACUGUCUGGAGGUGUUAAAUUAGUGUGGCCAGUAUUUAGCUUGUUAAAUGGGUGGAAUGAGUGAAUUGAAUAGCUCCAAGAACAGAUAAUACUGUUGCCAUAUGGAGGAUUGCUAGCUACGGCAUGUACAAUGGGGUGAUCUUCGUCGUGAUAUUUAGUUAUCUACGAAGCAAGAGAGGAGAAAGAAAGAAACUUGUUUCACUCCAAGGAAAGAAACUUGUUUCGCUCCAGGGAAAGCUAAGAGAAGGCUAAUUGUUCUAAAGAAUACGUGAUCUCUAACACUGUAUUAAUGUUUUAUAGCCGUCCUAACAAGUCUUAUUGGAAGGUUAAAAGUUUGCAACCAGACAGCAGUGUACCAGGAAUAACAUGGCAAGUUUGGUUAGCCCGUCUGUUAGUCUCACAUUGUUGACAAUUGUACAGACAGUAUUAUUUGUCACAAACUGUGUGACCUAGCACCAUCCCCUGUGGGCCGUGGCAAGAAACAAUUCUGAGGUAAUUGAUUGGCAUCGACAAAAUAGGCUCUUGAUACAGUAUAGUUGUUCUGCACAGCCGCUAUUCUGCUACUAAAAAAAACUAUAUAAGAUCUCCACCCUGGUCACUGAAACUAAAUAAGUCCACAAAAAUUAGGAAAUUUUAGCUACUAUUUUAAUCCGCGGGCAGUCACUCAAAUUAUUACAUUCCUACCUGUGUUUUCCUAGCAUAUUUUCUGUUAGAAUUUUAUAUUGCUCCAAUGCAAACCUUAGUUUGUUCAUUUUUACCUAUGCAGGAUUUAGUUGUUGGCAGACCCAAAGCUGUGUAUUUCUAUGAAGUUGAUGGUAGAGGUCCUUGCUGCCUUGCUGGGCUUUUGACAGUGAGAAGAAAUUUGUAGGUUGGUUUCAGCGCUAUAUACUUUGUGUUGAAUCGGGAGAAGGGUACCUUCACACAGCGCCUCCCCUCCUGUCUUGUUGCCUGCGUGAGUGUGUGUCUUGGAUGUGGCGGCUCUGUCUGGGGCAGGGGGAAGAGGGGCUCCUCUUCUAGGUCAGCACCUCUCAUGGGCUUGGGCCCAAGAGACAGAUCUUGAUGGGCUAGGGCCCAUACCGGUUCAACACGCCCCCUCAAGAUGGGUGGUAGAUAUCUAUCAUCCCCAUCUUGUCACACGCCAAGUUACAGUCCUUUGUUCCCAGUCCCUUUGUCAAGCAAUCUGCAAACUGCUGCCCAGAGCUGACAUGAGUAAGGCUGAUGAUCCCAGCAUCAAGUUUCUCUUUAAUGAAGAAGCGAUCAAUUUCCACAUGCUUCGUCCUAUCAUGUUGAACUGGGUUAUUAGCAAUGGCUAUAGCUGACUGAUUGUCACACCACACCCUUAAGGGUCCCUUCCUCAAGAGUUUCAACUCGCAUAGUAGGUGCUUCACCCAGAGCAUAUCACACAAUCCUUGAGAUAAUGCUCUAUAUUCAGCUUCUGCUGUUGAUCUAGACACAACAUUCUGUUUCUUGCUUCUCCAUGACACCAAAUUUCCUCCCACAAACACACAGUAACCUGAAGUUGAUCGUCUAUCAUCUUGACAGCUAGCCCAAUCAGAGUCACUAUAGCCAUCCACCUCUAGAUGUCCACUCUUCGCAAACCACAACCCUUUACCCGGAGUCCCCUUCAAGUAUCUCAGGAUUCUGUGAACAAUAUCAAGAUGCCCUCUCCUUGGUUCAUGCAUGUAUCUGCUCACCACCCCCACGGCAUACGUAAUGUCAGGCCUAGUAUGACACAAGUACAAUAACCUCCCAACCAGCUUCUGAUAAUCUUCCUUAUUCACUAGCUCACCUGAUUGUGCUGUUACUUGAUGAUUUUGUUCAAUUGGAGUAGGGGCUGCACGACAUCCCAUCAUGCCCAUGUCACUCAAAAGAUCCAAGGUGUAUUUUCGUUGGCACAAAGAUAUUCCCUUCUCUGUCCGGGCCACUUCUAUGCCAAGGAAGUACUUUAGAUUUCCUAAGUCUUUUACCUCAAACUCCUUGCUCAGACACCCCUUCACUCUCUUUAUUUCCUCCUCAUCAUCUCCAGUGAUGAUGAUAUCAUCAACAUACACUGCAACAAUGGUGAUCUUCUUAUUAGUGUGUCUAUAAAACACCGUGUGGUCACCAUUACAUUGGCCAUACCCCAUAUUCCAAACAGCUCGUCUGAACCUAUCAAACCAUGCCCUCGGCGAUUGCUUCAGACCAUACAAGGAUUUCUUCAGCCUGCAUACCUUCCCCGUAGUCUGUUCUGUGCCAAAACCUGGCGGUAUCUCCAUGUAUACCUCUUCUUUCAAGUCACCAUGUAAGAAGGCAUUCUUGACAUCUAACUGGUGCAAUUUCCACCCAAAGUUUGCAGCACACGAGACUAAUACCCGUACCGUGUUCAUCUUUGCAACUGGAGCAAAUGUCUCAUCAUAGUCAAUUCCAUAAGUUUGACUAUAUCCUCUGGCAACCAAUCUAGCCUUAUACCGUUCCACCUUGCCCUCAGGAUUCUGCUUCACAGUAAAAAUCCACUUACAACUCACUGCUUUCUUUCCUGCCGGCAAUGUGGUUAGCACCCAUGUCUUGUUUUUUUUCAAUGCUUCUAACUCCUCUAUCAUCGAUUCACGCCACUUCGGAUCUUGCUUUGCAGCCUUCCAAUCCCUAGGGAUAGACACAGUUUGCAGAGAGGCAACAAACGCCUUAUAUGAAGGUGACAAAGCCUUGUAAGACACAAAAUUGCCAAUAUCAAGGUCAUCACAAGCAUCAUCCUUUGGCAGAGCCUUCCUUGCUGCUUCACGUGUAGGUUUUCGCAAUGCAAUGGGCAGCUCCACUGUGUCAGAUGAGCUUGCCUCACUGCCUUGCUGCUCCCCCUGCACUCUUGCCUCACUGCCUUGCUGCUCCCCCUGCACUCUUGCCUCCCUGCCUUGCUGCUCCCCCUGCACUCUUGCCUCCCUGCCUUGCUGCUCCCCCUGCACUUGUGGUUGCCGCCGAGAGUACACCAGGGUAUUCGUCUGCCAUCGAUCCCGAACAGGAACCUGGAGAGCACCAAUAUUAAGUGUAUCGACAGUUGGCUCGGCAUGAGCCCGCACAUCAUGAUCAGUGAUGGUACUAACCGGAAUUGUACCCACUAUUGGUUGAACCUGAGCCUGCACAUCAUUAUCAGUGUUAAUGUCCACAGGAUCACCGUGAGUAUGAGACACAUCCUUCUCCCCCUCUUGACCAUCAUGCACAGGGUGUAGGUGGUCAAGCUCUGCAAACAACAGACUGAGAUCAGUCGGCUCACCAUAGAAUGGCUCAGACUCCCUGAAUGUAACGUCCAUACUUACAAACCUGCGUUUUUCAGAGGGACACCAACAUUUAUACCCCUGCUGACUAGACGAGUAUCCCAGAAAGACACACUUCACUGCCCGAGAAUCAAGCUUGCCAACAGAUGGUCGGUGAUCACGAACAAAGCAGGUACUGCCAAACAACUUUGGGGGAACAACAAACUUAUUAUCUCCAAUGAUCAACUCAGACGGAGAUUUCAUGCCAAGUAUCCUGGAAGGUGUUCGGUUGAUCAAGUAUGUGGCUGUCAUAACUGCAUCAUCCCACAAGAACUUAGGCACAUUCAUGGUAAACAUCAACGACCGAGCAACCUCAAGAACAUGACGAUUCUUCCGUUCGGCCACUCCAUUCUGAGGGGGGGUGUCCGGACAUGAAGUUUGAUGAAGAAUCCCAUGGUCAGCCAUGAAAGCCCCAAAAAUGUUGUUCACAUACUCCGUUCCAUUGUCCGUCCUGAGCACCUUGACCUGUACCUGAAACUGGUUCUUCACAAGAGCAUGGAAGUUCUGAAAACAGCUAAACACCUCAUCCUUGUGACGCAUCAAGUAAAUCCAAGUCAUGCGAGAAUAGCAGUCAAUAAAGGUAGCAAAAUACUUCUUCCCAUUCAUUGACACCACUGGGCUAGUCCAUACAUCCGAAUGAAUAAGCAUAAAAGGAGAUAUGCUCCUGAGCCCCUUACUCACAUAUGAGGCCCGUGUGUGUUUUGCAUAUUCACAAGCAUCGCAUGUCAGCUUGCCUUUGCCUAUGCCACACAUAACAUCCGGAAAUAUUCUACUCAUCUUAUCAAAAGAUACAUGCCCCAUCCUACAAUGAUGGAUCAUCGCCUG